AAUUUUGGCUUUUUGGCACUGUAUAUGCCCCCAAGGUAGAUCUUCUUCAGUUUGUUCCAGAGGUAGCGACCCCGUUCCUCGACCCGGCCCCGAGCGAUCCGGGUUCUCGCCUUCUUGUUCUUGGCAACAUUCAGAGGCAGCCCGCGCGCGGUCCGCCUGGCGUCCCGGCGCUGCCUCCGUCCAGCAAGCUCAGUUUGGUGUCUGCGGAUGCAGUCCGUGGAGCAGAAAAAGGAGGCGUUCCCGUGUCCGUGUGGCUCGAAGCGCCGGUAGCCGCACCGCAAGCACGUCCCCGGCUUCUCCGUCAGCACCGGGAGCAGCUGGUGCUCGCCGUCGCCGUCCUCGUGCACCGUGUCGUCACGGAUGACCAGGUGCCGCGACGGGAUGUGGUGGGGCCCAGCAGCAGCGAGGGCAGAAGGCGUGGGAGCAAUCGCUGCAGAAGCUGUCCCUCUGGCAGGUCUGCCGUCUGCGACAGAUCCGCCACUUGGAGCUCCUGCCUGGCGGACACCAGGAUGUCCACGGCCUCAGAGCCAGAACUCCCCGCGCCGCCGCUUCCGGCUCCUGCACCGCUUCGCCAUGCUCUGGCGCCAGCGCGCCGCCGCUUCCGGCUUCUGCACCGCGUGUCAAGCUCCGGCGAAGCCGCAGACCUCAACCCCAUCGAUUGCGGUUUGAGGCUGAGGCAACCGUGGAGCAUGGAGAGAGAGGAGGUCGCGUGCAAGGAUCAUCAUGUGCUGUUAUCCAACAUCAAGAUAUGCGCGAGAGAGAAGAGGGAGGCAGGCGCAUCACAAAUGAAGAUGGAGGAUACAAAAUGCUAGAAGAGCAACUUGUGAGCAAGGGGCAGCCAACGACAAGAAUGAUCUGCCCACCACAAGUUUAGUAUGAGUACGAGGCACACCAGGACAGCCUACGACGAGUCCGACACGUCUAAGGGGCGCCCGGACCUGCGAGUCCUAGUUUAAGCCAAGUCCUAUUCGGAUUGGUUGUAUAUGUUUGAGUCGAACCUAGUUUGAGUCUGAGUCCAUUUGUGUGUUUGGCUGUCCCUCGCCUAUAUAUACAAGGGGUACGGCUAGGGUUAGAGUUAGAUCACGUUUUAGCUUAUUCAGAACCUUUUGUUGAAUUGCUCCAAGCAUUUAUCUGAAAGUAUAUAAUUUCUCUUUGUUUCGAUCA
Molecule: long non-coding RNA, 1164 nt
Organism: Brachypodium distachyon (stiff brome)
Lineage: Eukaryota; Viridiplantae; Streptophyta; Magnoliopsida; Poales; Poaceae
Exons: 2
Source: RefSeq, a predicted model, not a curated record